Molecule: ribosomal RNA, 119 nt
Filed under: Petromyzon marinus (sea lamprey)
Lineage: Eukaryota; Metazoa; Chordata; Hyperoartia; Petromyzontiformes; Petromyzontidae
Source: RNAcentral
ACCUGUGACCAAAUCACUGAGAAUGCACCUGAUCUCAUCAGAUCUCGGACACUAAACAGGGUUGAGUCUGGAUAGUGCUUGGAUAGGUGACCACCAUGCAUGCCAGGUUGACAUAGGCC